AGCCUGAUGCAGCGACGCCGCGUGAGUGAAGAAGUAUCUCGGUAUGUAAAGCUCUAUCAGCAGGGAAGAAAAUGACGGUACCUGACUAAGAAGCCCCGGCUAACUACGUGCCAGCAGCCGCGGUAAUA
RNAcentral lists this ribosomal RNA (128 nucleotides) under uncultured bacterium. RNAcentral describes it as "partial 16S ribosomal RNA". It matches the Rfam family "Bacterial small subunit ribosomal RNA", at positions 380 to 525 of the family's 1533-position model. The record is from RNAcentral.